This 252-nucleotide ribosomal RNA is filed under the name uncultured bacterium. RNAcentral's name for it is "partial 16S ribosomal RNA". It matches the Rfam family "Bacterial small subunit ribosomal RNA", at positions 524 to 776 of the family's 1533-position model. The record is from RNAcentral.
UACGUAGGGCGCAAGCGUUAUCCGGAAUUAUUGAGCGUAAAGAGCUCGUAGGCGGUUGUCGCGUCUGCCGUGAAAGUCCGGGCUCAACUCCGGAUCUGCGGUGGGUACGGGCAGACUAGAGUGAUGUAGGGAGACUGGAAUUCCUGGGUGUAGCGGUGAAACGCGCAGAUAUCAGGAGGAACACCCGGUGGCGAAGGCGAGUCCCUGGACGACUCCUGACACUGAGGCACGAAAGCUAGGGGAGCAAACAGG